AAUAAGCACCGGCUAACUCUGUGCCAGCAGCCGCGGUAAUACAGAGGGUGCGAGCGUUAAUCGGAUUUACUGGGCGUAAAGCGUGCGUAGGCGGCUUAUUAAGUCGGAUGUGAAAUCCCCGAGCUUAACUUGGGAAUUGCAUUCGAUACUGGUGAGCUAGAGUAUGGGAGAGGAUGGUAGAAUUCCAGGUGUAGCGGUGAAAUGCGUAGAGAUCUGGAGGAAUACCGAUGGCGAAGGCAGCCAUCUGGCCUAAUACUGACGCUGAGGUACGAAAGCAUGGGGAGCAAACAGGAUUAGAUACCCUGGUAGUCCAUGCCGUAAACGAUGUCUACUAGCCGUUGGGGCCUUUGAGGCUUUAGUGGCGCAGCUAACGCGAUAAGUAGACCGCCUGGGGAGUACGGUCGCAAGACUAAAACUCAAAUGAAUUGACGGGGGCCCGCACAAGCGGUGGAGCAUGUGGUUUAAUUCGAUGCAACGCGAAGAACCUUACCUGGCCUUGACAUACUAGAAACUUUCCAGAGAUGGAUUGGUGCCUUCGGGAAUCUAGAUACAGGUGCUGCAUGGCUGUCGUCAGCUCGUGUCGUGAGAUGUUGGGUUAAGUCCCGCAACGAGCGCAACCCUUUUCCUUACUUGCCAGCAUUUCGGAUGGGAACUUUAAGGAUACUGCCAGUGACAAACUGGAGGAAGGCGGGGACGACGUCAAGUCAUCAUGGCCCUUACGGCCAGGGCUACACACGUGCUACAAUGGUCGGUACAAAGGGUUGCUACACAGCGAUGUGAUGCUAAUCUCAAAAAGCCGAUCGUAGUCCGGAUUGGAGUCUGCAACUCGACUCCAUGAAGUCGGAAUCGCUA
This 852-nucleotide ribosomal RNA is filed under the name Acinetobacter baumannii. RNAcentral describes it as "bacterial SSU rRNA". It matches the Rfam family "Bacterial small subunit ribosomal RNA", at positions 485 to 1337 of the family's 1533-position model. Lineage: Bacteria; Pseudomonadati; Pseudomonadota; Gammaproteobacteria; Moraxellales; Moraxellaceae. The record is from RNAcentral.